RNAcentral lists this transfer RNA (73 nucleotides) under Otophryne sp. AMNH 101748. Its description in RNAcentral is "tRNA-Leu". It matches the Rfam family "tRNA". Rfam says of the family: Transfer RNA (tRNA) molecules are approximately 80 nucleotides in length. Their secondary structure includes four short double-helical elements and three loops (D, anti-codon, and T loops). Lineage: Eukaryota; Metazoa; Chordata; Amphibia; Anura; Microhylidae. The record is from RNAcentral.
GUCAACGCAGCAGAAUCCGGUUAUGCAUAAGACCUAAACCCUUCCCAUGGGGGUUCAAAUCCCCCCGUCGACC